Long non-coding RNA from Triticum aestivum (bread wheat), 1547 nucleotides. RefSeq lists it as uncharacterized. The record is from RefSeq and is a predicted model, not a curated record. The transcript is spliced from 4 exons. Lineage: Eukaryota; Viridiplantae; Streptophyta; Magnoliopsida; Poales; Poaceae.
ACAUGGUCACUCCCGCUGUCCCGCAGCGGCCCGUGACUCAGUUCCACUUCCACCUAUGUUCCCCCUCGUUUGGUUAUCCGGAGGAGCAUGCUAGGCGGCAGGGGAGGCGCAUUCAUUGGAGGUUAAUCAUGGAGAUGGCACGGAUCUGAGCGGAGGAGUGAGUUGCUGGUCUAGAGGCGGAGGGGAAUCUCCGGCAGGUCUGGGCCUACGGCACCGGCACGAGCACUGCCGGCGGUGCUAUCCCGCGCGGGGUACCCGGGAGCGCAUCGCCGCUGGUUAUCUCCUGCGCCGGCGGUGUUGUGCGGAUCCACCAAGGUCAUAACAAGCAUAUGGAGAAGGAAGGGAGCUGAGUAGCUGCAUCGGUUGCUGGAUUGGGAAGAGGAGGGGAAACAUCAGAUUCCGGCGGAGCGGCAGGCGGACAUAGAAGUGCACCGCCAACGAGGAGAUCAGCAGCCGGUGGGUGUUCUCUGGAGCCAUCAGGUAAAUCUAUGUUUCAUUAACUUUGGGGGCGAACCCUAUAUUGCAGUUUGGGGAUUUUUAAGUUGCAGGUGCCACUGCCACCGCCGGCUAGAUUUGUAUUGUCUGGCGCAGAUCCUGGAGUUGACUAGCCCUUAUGUAUCUUCUAUGUAGCCAGAGUUCAAGUGCAUCUUGCAGCGGCAUCAUGCAGGAUUCAGGCACACCAUGGCAUUUCCUGUCGAAAUACUGACAGUCUGAAUUCGACAAUAUGUAAAGCUCAUCAAUUCAUAAGGGCUAUUAACAGACUAAGUUUGACCAGCGCCGGCGGUGAGCAGAUGCGAGUGAACUUUGCGAAGAAGGUGAUCUGACUUGACCGCGCCAUUGCUAUAUUCGACUCUGGAUACAAAUCUUGUACAGCUUGACGGGAGGCAGAGAGCAGACCAGAGUCAGUCCAACCUGGAUAAUCAUGCAGGUACUGUAUUCUUGCCCCAGUAUCAGUCGCAGUGUACAUGGGCUUGGUUGUGAAAGCUCUUGGCGCCGAUGACUAGACUUUGCAGAUUGCAUCUCUGAUGUGCAAAGUACAACCAUGUACUCCUUGGAUGCAAGAUACUACAACAUUGGUUGUUUUUGUUCAGUGGAGAGUGCGACACGAUUGAUGAUGUGUGUAGCACGAUUGCGACAAUACCUCCAUGUCCAUCUAUUCUAAUGUUUAUGGAAAUUAUACUGAUUUGAAGGUUGUUGGCUAUAAUCGGGAUUUAGGGGCUUAACAUGUCAGCAGUAUCGUACUUGAAGUACCACAAAAAUGCAUGUUUCAUCGUAUCUGCCAGCGGCUCCGUUUAUGCUAUUCACGGCAUAUUGUUGAUUUAUCUCUGUUUCGUUUUUGCUCAGAAUUACAGCAAAAUCAACAAACUGCCCACGACCUUGUAUUAAAACUGCCCACGAUACCUGAAGAACACGAAUCAGACAGGGGAGAUGGCUACAUAUAAUGGUCCUGCUUACUGAUGUUCAGUACAUUUUCGUUCUUCACUAUGUGAAAUAAGCAGAAAAGGGUGAAACUGAUUAUUAUAAACUGAAAUAUUUCUACAUAUUCU